CAAGGCGCGUCAGUGGUCGAUGCUGGAGGGGGAACAACAGUAGUAGCUUUGAAUCCGUUAUAUCGCUCUGCGCAAUUACCAAUUUGAUGUUUUUGAAUUUUGAUCACCGUAACUGAUGUUUUGAAAACAUUUCAAUCCGUGCAGAGUUGAUAAGAUCAGGCCGCUUGCACAAUGCAAGCAACACGAUUCAUGCGAUGUUGAGCUCAGUGCAUGCCGAAUGAUGUUUCAUGUUCUUUUGAGUGAGAUCACAAUCACAACCAAUUUUUUUUUGAGGGGACAUAGUGUCCUGUAUGGGCCCUGCGCGUCCACUACAGCAUACAAACGCCCAACCGGGCCCCAGAAUCCCCAAUACACACCAAACCAUUGGGCCACCCUUUGCAGCCAAGGCCCAGUGCAGUCCAAACCCGCGAACAGUGCACAUGCCGGAGUUCGGAACACGACACGGCGCGCGCGGCUGGCUGGGUGUGCUUCCCACUAACCCAUCCCCUCCAGCGGCUUUCGCUGUCAGGCAAUCAGUCGAGCAUAGAACCUUCCAGCCAGGCAAGGGCUUGAUGGUUGCCUGGUUGGGGUGCCCUGCCCAUCUCACGAUUCGCAUCCACUUCUUGGUGGAGACUGAUCGGGGUCCUGAGAUCGGGGUAGGUAGAUAGGUAGGUGGCUGGCAUCGAUACGGCAACAUGGGCUGCUUCGUUCCGUUUCGAGACCCGAAACACACGGUUGGGUCUUUCCGGCGCCAACGGGAGGAAACAAGGGAGCGAGAGGGAUCUGCGUGUCCUGGACUGCACAGUGCGCGCCAUUUUCCACGCUAGAAGUGAGAGCUGGUCAAUGUUGAUGGCGGCCGGCGGCCACUUCCUAGUUGGCAGCCACUGACAAAAGACAGAUAGACAUACACUCCGUAGUACUCUACAUGCAUGUACAUCCGGAUAAGGAGGUGUUGGAGAAUACAAUGCAAGCUUCUAGAGUGUUCUCAAUAUUACAAGAAAGAAGACAUUACUAUGGAAUACUCUAAAAUAUAAAAUAAAUAAAAGAGGGAACCUUCUAGUGUUUAGAUAUGCAUGAAGAAGCUUUGGAAUACUCUAGAAUAGGAGUUUAAAAUAAAUAAAUCGGAAACCUUGUAGUAUCUAGAUGUUUAUGUAGAAGUGUGUGGAAGGUUUUAGAUAUUUUGUAUCAAUGGCUAAGAUUUUGAUACAUGUCAAAGAUCCAAUGGCCAUGUAGUCCUAUAAAUAGAGGCUCUUGCCUCACACCUUGUGUAGUAGAGAAUAAAGAAGUGAAGAAGGUGGAGAACAAGGUGUGAGCAAGUGUAAGGCUGAUUGUUAUUGCAAAUCUACGAAGCGGCUUUUGCGGUUCAGGUAGGUCAGGACCGUCAGGUGCAUGGCGGCGUUGCUAAGGUAGGAGGAGCAGGUAUGCCUUUUGAGUCCACCGGAUUUCCGGUGGGUCAUGGGUGCUGUCGUUGUCGUUCCUUGGACACAUGUUGUGAACUCUGAAAACAGAAGCUGUGCUACAGCAAUCGGCGAUGGGUUAAUUUAAGUAUCUGAUUGCCUUGCCAUACAGUUCAAUAAGUGUCGGUAUGCAUGAUUCAUUUUUUAUUUCACAAAAUCACAUUUCUCAUGCAUGUUCUUCUUUUGAAGCUCUCUUCAUUAUAUAUCCUGCCAACUUUGCAAGGAUUAUUUAUUGUUCAUUUGGAUAGAGUUAAUUGCCCCUUGAUAGUUUCCUGAAAUAAUUGGCUGUACUACACUGGUGUGCUCCCUUUUUCUGGUGAGACGUGUGAAGGAAAGAAAUGAAAAGGGAAGGGGCAUUGACCUUUCCAGCCAAACGUACUGAUGGAUCGGUGAGAAGAGGAAUCGUAGGACCAUCAGAAACUAACAAAGAGGUUAGGUGCCCGAAGACCGUGGUAUUCUGGGUUGUUAGGAGAUAUUGUUUCUGAUUUAGACAAGUUGUUAGCACGGCAUUGUCCGGGGCCGGGCUAGUAGUGUGCGUGAGAGCGAGUGGGAGCAAAUUAUUGAGGUUCCUGAGAACAUGGAUACACGCAAAGCGAUGGCAUUUUCUUUUGGUACACCUUCCAUCCAUGAUCCAUCCAUCCACAUCUCCCUAUCAAAAGGGGACAUACACAAUAUGACAUGGAUGAAAGAAUCCAUCUUGCCUAACUAGGGUCACCCACCUAUAAAAGGCUCAUCAGGACCCCCUUUCCCUUUUGCUACAAAAGGUUAAAACCUAGUAGGAGGAGUAGUUACGAACUGGUAAAACUCGCACCAAUCUCGCCACGGUCUAAUUAAUUACACGGUCAAGUCAAAAACCUGCAGCAUUAAUCACUCAAGGCCACAGUGCAAUUGACCUCUCGUUUGAAUAAUGCCGCCGUUAGCUAGGUAGUGUAGUGCCCACCAAACAUUAUGGAAGCUGUUGCAAAGUUGCAAGUUGUGCUUUCUUAAUUUUGUGCAUACAGAUUGUAAUACUUAUAUGGAACGAGAUGCGUGAACCAUGGAUGAGUUGUUUAAUGAACCCAAUCGCCUGAAAAGCCCUAAGGAUUCGUCGAAUUCAGACUCUUUAGGUUAAAAUCUACGCGGGUAAUCCAAACAUGUCGUCGCUUUGCACGGACAGAUCGAUGACGCACAUGGCUGGUUCACUAAUUAUAAAUGAUUCCGAGGGUAUCUUCACAUGAAGCUUCAGUGCUUAAUUUUUAGGUGACAUAUGCAUGGUGCGUUGUUUAUUAUUGGUGCUUGCUUUUAAUCUCACGGAUCGACCUAACAACAAAAUAGAUUUAAAAUUUCAGAAGUUAUAUGCAUAGACAUGGUCAGAACGUCUACUGGAUCUGAGAUGUGAAGAGGAAGAAGCAACGUUGACUGGUUAGUUAGUUACAGCUAGCAUCAUAUCAACAUCGUUGCAGGAAGUACAGUGCCAGGGAAACAGUGCAAUGGAAGGAUUGACAAAGCCAGUUUCUGACAUGGACCUAACUGGAUUGGAUAGGCGCCGCCUUAAAAAUCAAGAACUGCCCGGAUAGGUCAUUAGGACCACCCAAUCAAUGGUUUGGGUAAAAGAAUCUCGUGACUUACCAGUAGUGAGAUAACUCCGAGUUUACUGAGACAUAGUACGUAAAAACUAGAGAGAAGUACAUUUUUCAUUUCUCACCUUACCGGAAAGUUCAUUUCUCGUCCCUAAAAAAUAAUUCGUAUUUUUUUCAUCACUCAACUUUCAAAACUGGACAUUUUUAGUCCCUAAGGUUGUCCAAAGUGGUUUGUCUAGCCACGUGUCCGGUUUAAUCCCGUGACCGCCGAGGCUAUUGAAAUUGGCCGUCGUCGUGCUCUGGAUCUCUUCCAGGCUCUGGUUGUACUUCUCAUCCAUCUGCAUCAUUCAUAUCUUGAUUGGAAAAAAAAUUAAGUGAAAAAAAACUAUGCGAAAACCAGACACGUGGGAUAGGAAAACCACUUUGGAUGGACUGAGGGACUAAAAGUGUCCGGUUUUGAAAAUUGAGGGACGAAAAAAGUAUGAAAUUUUUUUGAGAAACGAAAAGCGAACUUUUCGACAAUUUGAGGGACGAAAAAAAUAGUUUUCUCUAAAAACUAAUCCUAACAUGUCAGUGAGCCUGUGGUCAAUGGAGACAUAUACAGGCGCUAUUGGAGCUAAUCUUAUCCAUCGAUCUUGACAGCAGAUCCAAUCGAACAUCAUGAAUAACAUAUAGGUUUGAUUUUAUUUGGAGGAAGGAUCUGUAGAUGAGAAGGGAUCCGAUGGCUCAUCUUUUAAACCAUCUAGAUCUACAUGCUCCAUUGCUAGAUGCCUCAUGCAUGCUGUCAAGAAAGGAACCACUUGGCUAAAACGGGCGAAUCAAACGUCUGGACCGGCCUUGCUAGGGGGUCAUACAUUACGCGGUGUUUUCACAUGAGAUAUUUUCGAUGGAUUCAGAAGGAAUCAGAUGAGGAAUCGGGCUUCCCGAUAAAAUACAGGUUACAAUCGGCCGGGCACGUCGGUGUCAGUUCGUUCAGAGCUCGAUCAUGGCCAAAUUUUUUCUCCUCCAUCACAAACAAAGUUGGACGCUCGGACCCGCGGGUCCCGGGGUUAGGCCGUUCGGUACGAGUAGGACCCGGUCGAUCGGUCCGAGUUGCUUCCAAGACCCUGAGACCGAUUGGUACUUGGUCUCUUUCUCCCUCCCCUGCUUAAUCCCUCUUCUAUUAAACGAUGUAAACGAUGCAACGCUGGUUACCACAAGUAAAUAAAGAGGGUUUUUGCUGUCAAAAAAAUCCUCUGGACUGGAUUGCGUCACAUGGCAUGCUAUUUCUCCUCCUUCUAAAGUCUUUCCGGUUUUUAAACCGUCGGUGGUGCCUCUGGGUUCUACUCCGUACGAGCACUACUCAAGUCGUGGUCAUGAAGAGAAAGAAAAAGGCAGAGGAGCCGUCUCUUGUUUGCCCAAGCGGUCGGGGUGGUGGACGGCAGCAACAGUGUGGCUGUGGCUAGCGCUAAGCUACGAGAUGAGGUCGAGCGGUCGGAACUUGGAAGGGUUUGGUAGCAGACAGCGGCAAGUCGCCAUCUCGGUUGUUGCACGCACUGAAUUAAUGCAUGGCACAUACGUCCGUCUUGGUUUUGGACUUGGGGACGACUUUGGGUUUGGGAGUGUGUAGGAGUCAUGCGUUCGUGCGUCAGAUCAUGGCUGUCGUGGUCUGCCCUGCAGGGAAUCUUGGGAAUUCUGGAUCAUGAUGAUGUGUGAUCGAGCGGUGCCUUUUGUUUCUCCACUAGGUAGCUCCUGCACGUGUUCUCUCCAGACCGUGCGCGCUCGGAGCAGGCAAACAUGUGCAUCCGUUAUUACACCAUGAUCAUCUGGUGGGUAUUGGCAUGCAAAGUGUCCCUUGAUCGGUGUCGGUCGGUCAGUCGAUUUACCACCUGAUUAAGAAGCAUGCGUGGAUCAUGCACGUAUUUAUAUCGAGGACCCCAAAUCAAGUCGCAGAAUUUAAUUAUUGACGCGUGCACGCGAUUCUCUAUAGACUAUAGUGACCCGCGUCAUGAUCAGUAUCAAUCAUAUACCGUUGUAAUCGUGUCAUGGCUACGGCCAACUGCGCUGGAUUGUCGCCUUCGACUUCGAGAGAUGACGCAGAUUUUUCUGCAGUGCCAUUUGUCUAUUUCUCAGCAGGGCUAGAUAAAAACGACGAGCAGAGAAUCGGCAACUACACUGUCUCUUCGGAUUUUUUUUUGUAGCUUACGAGUUACGACCCAUUCGCACAUGUUGGACUCUUUGGCAAAAAGGAGACACAUAUAUAGGCUUAAGCAUUGACCGGAAUCACAGGGAAUCUCAGGGGAACGUACAAUCAGCAGUACGUGAGUGUAUUUCUGACUUCUGAGCAGCUAGCUGUUAGUACGCCGCCCUUGUCGUCGCUUGGCGUGGGCAAAGUACGCGGCAGCAGCACAGGACCAGCUCACCAAACACCUCGAUCAGGCCUCUCUGGGUGGGCGAACGAAGCAAAAGGAUGCGAAUGCACACAACAAGUGCUGCCCAGCGAGCCAAAGCCGAAGCCAUUCCAACUCCAGGAUCAAAAAGCCAAAGGAAGGACAUCGCACAGCGAUCGAAUCUAACUACUCGUAAGUUGGACGGUGUCUGGCUGGCACCAAUCAUCUCUACCAAACUAAUUUCGAGUUGGUUGACAUCUCGUUUUCUCCUUUAGCUAUAGCUCGUAAAUUGCUUGCGUUUGCAUCGAUCUACAGUUUGCGUGCACUGCACACUUGGAUGCUCUUUAAUUAGACUAUGAAUCCGGCCGGAGCAGGUUCGCUAGUUAUGAGUCUGAUUUGGACAUUCUGCGCCAAGUACGUGCGGAUGCUCCGAUGAGCUUUGAGCUGCGGCCCGGAGUUGGGCCGCGGUGUCCUGCCAAGACAGACUUUACACCGAGCAGUAGGGUUAAUUAUCGGGUUUCAGAAAUUGAGAAGACGGUUUUCUUUUAUUACAGCAUUUCAGAAGACCGGUAGUGAGAGUUCUAGAUCGAUGUACAGAAAUGAAGAAAAAAGAGGCUCGAAUCGAGGAACAGUUCCCGGA
Brachypodium distachyon (stiff brome) is the source of this 6004-nucleotide long non-coding RNA. RefSeq lists it as uncharacterized. The record is from RefSeq and is a predicted model, not a curated record. The transcript has 2 exons. Lineage: Eukaryota; Viridiplantae; Streptophyta; Magnoliopsida; Poales; Poaceae.